UAGGGAAUCUUCGGCAAUGGGGGGAACCCUGACCGAGCAACGCCGCGUGAGUGAAGAAGGUUUUCGGAUCGUAAAGCUCUGUUGUUAAGGAAGAACGAGUGUGAGAAUGGAAAGUUCAUGCUGUGACGGUACUUAACCAGAAAGGGACGGCUAACUACGUGCCAGCAGCCGCGGUAAUACGUAGGUCCCGAGCGUUGUCCGGAUUUAUUGGGCGUAAAGCGAGCGCAGGCGGUUAGAAAAGUCUGAAGUGAAAGGCAGUGGCUCAACCAUUGUAGGCUUUGGAAACUGUUUAACUUGAGUGCAGAAGGGGAGAGUGGAAGUCCAUGUGUAGCGGUGAAAUGCGUAGAUAUAUGGAGGAACACCGGUGGCGAAAGCGGCUCUCUGGUCUGUAACUGACGCUGAGGCUAGAAAGCGUGGGGAGCGAACAGG
This 429-nucleotide ribosomal RNA is filed under the name Bacteroidota bacterium. RNAcentral's name for it is "Bacteroidetes bacterium partial 16S ribosomal RNA". It matches the Rfam family "Bacterial small subunit ribosomal RNA", at positions 355 to 776 of the family's 1533-position model. The record is from RNAcentral. Lineage: Bacteria; Pseudomonadati; Bacteroidota.